RNAcentral lists this ribosomal RNA (619 nucleotides) under uncultured bacterium. RNAcentral's name for it is "bacterial SSU rRNA". It matches the Rfam family "Bacterial small subunit ribosomal RNA", at positions 338 to 947 of the family's 1533-position model. The record is from RNAcentral.
CCUACGGGAGGCAGCAGUGGGGAAUUUUGGACAAUGGGCGCAAGCCUGAUCCAGCAAUGCCGCGUGAGUGAAGAAGGCCUUCGGGUUGUAAAGCUCUUUUGUCAGGGAAGAAACGGUUGUUCCUAAUACGGAUGGCUAAUGACGGUACCUGAAGAAUAAGCACCGGCUAACUACGUGCCAGCAGCCGCGGUAAUACGUAGGGUGCAAGCGUUAAUCGGAAUUACUGGGCGUAAAGCGUGCGCAGGCGGUUAUAUAAGUCAGAUGUGAAAUCCCCGGGCUCAACCUGGGAACUGCAUUUGAGACUGUAUGGCUAGAGUGUGUCAGAGGGGGGUAGAAUUCCACGUGUAGCAGUGAAAUGCGUAGAUAUGUGGAGGAAUACCGAUGGCGAAGGCAGCCCCCUGGGAUAACACUGACGCUCAUGCACGAAAGCGUGGGGAGCAAACAGGAUUAGAUACCCUGGUAGUCCACGCCCUAAACGAUGUCUACUAGUUGUCGGGACUUAAUUGUCUUGGUAACGCAGCUACGCGUGAAGUAGACCGCCUGGGGAAGUACGGUCGCAAGUAUUAAAACUUCAAAUUGAGUUGNGGNGNGAGAGNGCGAGACGACGACGAGGAGGAGG